GAGUUUGAUCUUGGCUCAGAUUGAACGCUGGCGGCAGGCCUAACACAUGCAAGUCGAGCGGAUGACGGGAGCUUGCUCCUUGAUUCAGCGGCGGACGGGUGAGUAAUGCCUAGGAAUCUGCCUGGUAGUGGGGGACAACGUUUCGAAAGGAACGCUAAUACCGCAUACGUCCUACGGGAGAAAGCAGGGGACCUUCGGGCCUUGCGCUAUCAGAUGAGCCUAGGUCGGAUUAGCUAGUUGGUGGGGUAAUGGCUCACCAAGGCGACGAUCCGUAACUGGUCUGAGAGGAUGAUCAGUCACACUGGAACUGAGACACGGUCCAGACUCCUACGGGAGGCAGCAGUGGGGAAUAUUGGACAAUGGGCGAAAGCCUGAUCCAGCCAUGCCGCGUGUGUGAAGAAGGUCUUCGGAUUGUAAAGCACUUUAAGUUGGGAGGAAGGGCAGUAAGUUAAUACCUUGCUGUUUUGACGUUACCGACAGAAUAAGCACCGGCUAACUCUGUGCCAGCCGCCGA
RNAcentral lists this ribosomal RNA (514 nucleotides) under bacterium enrichment culture clone ALO1_GLFRUDD03FS46A. RNAcentral's name for it is "bacterial SSU rRNA". It matches the Rfam family "Bacterial small subunit ribosomal RNA", at positions 9 to 518 of the family's 1533-position model. The record is from RNAcentral.